Molecule: ribosomal RNA, 285 nt
Filed under: uncultured bacterium
Lineage: Bacteria
Description: partial 16S ribosomal RNA
Rfam family: Bacterial small subunit ribosomal RNA
Source: RNAcentral
UAUGACCUACGGGGGGCAGCAGUGAGGAAUAUUGGUCAAUGGCCGGAAGGCUGAACCAGCCAAGCCGCGUGAAGGACGAAGGUGCCAAGCAUUGUAAACUUCUUUUGUCAAGAGACAAAAUCAGGCUCGAGAGCCUGACCGAGGGUACUUGAAGAAAAAGCAUCGGCUAACUCCGUGCCAGCAGCCGCGGUAAUACGUAGGUGGCAAGCGUUGUCCGGAAUUACUGGGUGUAAAGGGAGCGCAGGCGGGAAGCCAAGACAGCUGUGAAAACUACGGGCGUAACUU